GGGGAUGACAGGCUUCGACGGGAGAGGCUGGUCCCGGAAUGCGAGCCGAGCGGCGCCGAACUCGUAAACUCAGCGCAAAACCUUAAGUGCCAACCGCACUUCCUACGCUGCUAUGCCUCUCGCUGCAUAAGCGAUGACAUAACAGUCAACCUCCUUGAUGAGGUUGCGUCCGCCGUGCGCCGUCCUCCACCCGGCGACGGACCGGGCGACACAAUGGUGUGAGCGCUGCGCAUGAUUCUGCUAAAUGCGCCUAAGACCAGCAGAUGGUCACAGGGUUACCUGCCCGCCGAGAUCCCUGUGAUGAAACACUUCGGCAGGCUACGCUCGUAGAUUUCCGAGGGUCGAGUCUUUCGGACCCGGGUUCAAUUCCCGGCAUCUCCACCA
This 384-nucleotide transfer-messenger RNA is filed under the name Anaerolineales. Its description in RNAcentral is "UBA12294 sp003577395 Standard tmRNA". It matches the Rfam family "transfer-messenger RNA". From Rfam's summary of the family: Bacterial tmRNA, also known as 10Sa RNA or SsrA, is named for its dual tRNA and mRNA-like properties. Its role is to liberate the mRNA from a stalled ribosome. RNAcentral also lists the same sequence under 2 other names. The record is from RNAcentral. Lineage: Bacteria; Bacillati; Chloroflexota; Anaerolineae.